AGAGCGAACGCUGGCGGCAGGCCUAACACAUGCAAGUCGAGCGCCCCGCAAGGGGAGCGGCAGACGGGAGAGUAACACGUGGGAACGUACCCCUUGGUUCGGAACAACACAGGGAAACUUGUGCUAAUACCGGAUAAGCCCUUACGGGGAAAGAUUUAUCGCCAAAGGAUCGGCCCGCGUCUGAUUAGCUUGUUGGUGAGGUAACGGCUCACCAAGGCUACGAUCAGUAGCUGGUCUGAGAGGAUGAUCAGCCUCACUGGGACUGAGACACGGCCCAGACUCCUACGGGAGGCAGCAGUGGGGAAUAUUGGACAAUGGGCGCAAGCCUGAUCCAGCCAUGCCGCGUGGAUGAUGAAGGCCCUAGGGUUGUAAAGUCCUUUCGGACGGGGAAGAUAAUGACGGUACCCGUAGAAGAACGCCCCGGCUAACUUCGCGCCAGCAGCCGC
This 446-nucleotide ribosomal RNA is filed under the name uncultured bacterium. RNAcentral's name for it is "SSU rRNA". It matches the Rfam family "Bacterial small subunit ribosomal RNA", at positions 26 to 518 of the family's 1533-position model. The record is from RNAcentral.